Molecule: long non-coding RNA, 1599 nt
Filed under: Nicotiana tabacum (common tobacco)
Lineage: Eukaryota; Viridiplantae; Streptophyta; Magnoliopsida; Solanales; Solanaceae
Description: long non-coding RNA (NTAB_LNC019048)
Source: RNAcentral
UGAAUCAACAUGUGGUAUCAUAACAUAUUGUAUGCGGAAGAUAAACUAACACAUGCUGAUAUACUGAAAGUCUGGAUGAUAUAAAUCAAAGUGCGAAAAUACUAAUACAAUUCUUAAACAUAUUUGUAGCCGACAUAACUUAAUAUGAAAAGCCUGUGACUUUGUAUAACUAUUACUCUAGUCUAUGAAGCCUCUAUUCGAGUACUGAAAACACUGACUGUAUGUGAAUACUGAAGACUGUAGUAAUGAUAAUCCCCCGAAAGGACUGAGGAUCACCAAAUAGCUGGUACGAGAAUCCUAGCGCUCAGAAUCGUCAACCUAUAAAUCAUUACCUGCAUCGUGAGAUGCAGGCCCCAGGCAAAAGGGAUGUCAGUACAUUUGAAUUGCACUGGUAUAUAAGACAACUGAAAGAAAGAAUUAUAAAUGCUGAAGCUGAAACUAAGCUGAUAACUGAGAAUUGAUAAUUGAUACUGAAAUGAUAACUAUUGAAAUAGAAAUUAAAAAGAUAACUGAUAGUUGAUAACUGAACUUAUAACUGAUAAAUGAAAUGAUAACUGAACCGAUAAUUGAUUACUAAAAUGAUAACUGAUAACUGGUAAUUGGAAUGAUAACUGAUAACUGAAAUGAACAAAGGAAGUAAGGAUAUGAAUACUCCCUCUUCUAAAUGAUGAACAACCUGUUUAUUUGAAUAAAUAAACUACGGCCUCAGGCCCAAUAAAUAUAUGUGCACAACUACGGUCUCAGGCCCAAGUAUACGUAUACAUACCUAUGACCUCAGAUCUAAAAUGCAAGCAUAAACUGCGGCCUCAGGCCCAAAGAUGCAUAAAGCAUUAACUGCGGCCUCAGGACCAAAUACAGGUGUUCGACAUUCAGGGGUUUAAAAUUAGGAUUUGAGAAUCAUACUGCAAUACGUAAUAGUGAAUUACUGAAUUCCGCUGAGUUACAUUAUGCUGGAAUACUGGAUCACACUGAGUUACAUUAUACUGGAAUACUAAAUCAUACUGAGUUACACAGUACUUGAAUACUGAAUAGGACUAGAAUGAGACAUGUAUUCUUGAAUUGGUUGUGAACACUGAAACUUUAACUGUUUAUGACAUGCUGAGUAAGCUAUACUGAGACUUAGGGGCAUCAAGCCCAAGUCUAUUUUGAAUACGAACUGAGCUCACAACAUUCAGAAUGAAAGUCAUAAACGAGUUAUGAAACUAGAGAAUAGAAGUUCUACAACUCUUCAAGGAACUAGGCUUAACUAUAUUUCUAAGGCAAUUGAUACGUCGUAAAAGAAACGUAGUGUAGGGAGAAUCAUUAAAAUUUCCAAACAUAGAGAGUUAGCCUCACAUACCUUAACUUCCUGCUCUUGAGCAUAAUACAAUAUUCGCCAACCCUUUCAACUUUAAUCUAUAUCAAUACAAGUCAAAGGCAUUCCAAAUUAGCAACAAUAGUCAUGUUUUGGUCAAUUAGGCAUUUUAUCAAAUACUCGGUGGCAUAAAGCUUCAUAGCCCUUAUUAAUGGUGUCUCUACACCCAAUAACCCAUUAAUUUGCUCUUAGAUAAAUUCUAAAGUCUCAAAUGGUUAUAAUCAACAUUAUUCUUUAUCACCCAU